Long non-coding RNA from Fopius arisanus, 258 nucleotides. RefSeq lists it as uncharacterized. The transcript is spliced from 3 exons. The record is from RefSeq and is a predicted model, not a curated record. Lineage: Eukaryota; Metazoa; Arthropoda; Insecta; Hymenoptera; Braconidae.
GGAGCUGGAAAUAGGAUUGUUCGCACCAUCGGUUAGGAAUCCCAUCAAGUAUCGUAGUAACCAGUUGAACGACGUGAGAUGAUACCAACGAUGGCGUAACCCUUUUCAAGACUCAACUAAAGGACAUGAGGCAUUGGUUCUUAUUGUCAGGCACGUCCCUUUAUUCCUCCGAGGAGAAAUCUGAUUCUCGGAGGAUCACCAUGAAAAUGAGAUCCUCUUUGUCAUUUUGUUAUCCAUCUUCUGGAGUUGGACUUGCAU